This 303-nucleotide ribosomal RNA is filed under the name uncultured bacterium. RNAcentral's name for it is "partial 16S ribosomal RNA". It matches the Rfam family "Bacterial small subunit ribosomal RNA", at positions 507 to 808 of the family's 1533-position model. The record is from RNAcentral.
AGCAGUCGCCGCGGUAAUACGUAUGUCACAAGCGUUAUCCGGAUUUAUUGGGCGUAAAGCGCGUCUAGGUGGUUAUGUAAGUCUGAUGUGAAAAUGCAGGGCUCAACUCUGUAUUGCGUUGGAAACUGUGUAACUAGAGUACUGGAGAGGUAAGCGGAACUACAAGUGUAGAGGUGAAAUUCGUAGAUAUUUGUAGGAAUGCCGAUGGGGAAGCCAGCUUACUGGACAGAUACUGACGCUGAAGCGCGAAAGCGUGGGUAGCAAACAGGAUUAGAUACCCGAGUAGUCCCUGUCUCUUAUACA